RNAcentral lists this long non-coding RNA (1471 nucleotides) under Sus scrofa (pig). Its description in RNAcentral is "lncRNA (ENSSSCG00070001534.1)". The record is from RNAcentral. Lineage: Eukaryota; Metazoa; Chordata; Mammalia; Artiodactyla; Suidae.
AGAAUCCUUCAUGACCCAUUCUGAAGAAAGCUUAUGAGAUAACCCUUUGACCAUUCAGGUGGUUUUGCCUGGAAGAUAAUUAGAUAAUUUAAAGGGGACCUACACAGAGAAUGAUCAGUACCUAACGUGUAUGCAUAUGGUUUUCAGUAGUUGAUACUUAGUAAUUCUUUGUUAAAUAAAGAGAUGAUCAAAUGCAGCUUGAUUCAAUCUUUCUGUCCAGAUAGGAGGUAAAAAUGACAUCUGGAUCCCAUUCUCUAGGCCUUGAAGCAGCUCUUCCAUUCAUGUCAAGGUUGUAAUUUUCAUUUUGAUGUUGAGGAAGCUACUUUUAGAAUCAAAACAGAAGAGAUGAGAGCUUAUAACUUUUGAGGGGUGCCUGCUUUCCCCUAUAGCUGGCUAUGGUGUUUUCUAGGAGAAUGUGCUGUCCCUACAUUUUCACAGUCUUAACAGCAGUAAAGGUUUUGCAUCAAGAAAGUAACAUUUGCCAAGGAGAUUCACUGGUUGUAGAUGUUUUGUGGAGGAUGUGGUCUCUGUGAUACGUUGGCUUGUCUUUACCUGUUCGCUUUGUGAAGUAUGGAAGGUGAUUUGUAACCACUUGGGCCUUUCUGUGCUGAAGAAAAGAAGGAAGGAGAGAGGGAGACAGGGAGGGAGAGAAGGAGGAAAUGAAUUUCAAUGCAUUAAUCCCAGUUUCCAGCUACUUUAAGAACUCAACAAAUUGAGAAAGCACUUUUUCUUUUCUUUUCUUCCCAGGGACUUGAAAAGGGAAACAAGGAGCAAUUAUAAGGUAUUCCUAUCUCAUGAGCCUGUUGGAUUCUCAGGGAAAUGAAUUUACAGAAGGCUGUAGGCCAUCCCUGCAGAAGAGGUGAAAGGUCCUGACUCCUGAGAAGAACCCCACCUCCCUCUCCUGCAUUAGAGGCAGAGCUCCUGUCUAGCGUCCUGGUCUUUCCUGGACCGUUCGAGGACAGCCAGCAUGGUUUCCCGGACUGGAGAAGUCUGACUAGCAAUUUUUCCCAGGCCUACCCACCAGAGUGGACCUACUCUGUGCCUGUAUCCUGCGUCUGCUGCUGUACAUACAUUCAUUCACAGAGUUCUCAUACAACUUGCAUGGUAAGCAGUGCUCCCAUUUUACAGAUGAGGGAAGUGAGGCUCAGUGGGUAGAACUAAUCUGCUUGGGGGGGUGGAGGAUCCAAACCCAGAAUGGCUGCCUGAAGCCCCUUUCAUACUUUCCACGCCCAUAGCUGUAUGUCUCUCGUGUUCUUUCAUAAGGAGGAGAUCAGGCUUAAGAAACUUGCUCAGUGUAUAUUUAGUGAAUGAAGGAAUGUGAGUGGUAUAGGAACACAAGAAUGUUCUCAUGACAUUAUUUACUAGCUGGAACACAUGACCCCGUCAAAUGUGCCAUUGUUUUGAAUUAUUCAAAAGCUUUAAAACAUUUGUUUUGCUAAGCACCCAUUUUUCUUUUCUUUAUUGCACACUG